GAUGAACGCUAGCUACAGGCUUAACACAUGCAAGUCGAGGGGCAUCAGGAAGAAAGCUUGCUUUCUUUGCUGGCGACCGGCGCACGGGUGAGUAACACGUAUCCAACCUGCCCUUUACUCGGGGAUAGCCUUUCGAAAGAAAGAUUAAUACCCGAUAGCAUAAUGAUUCCGCAUGGUUUCAUUAUUAAAGGAUUCCGGUAAAGGAUGGGGAUGCGUUCCAUUAGGUUGUUGGUGAGGUAACGGCUCACCAAGCCUUCGAUGGAUAGGGGUUCUGAGAGGAAGGUCCCCCACAUUGGAACUGAGACACGGUCCAAACUCCUACGGGAGGCAGCAGUGAGGAAUAUUGGUCAAUGGGCGCUAGCCUGAACCAGCCAAGUAGCGUGAAGGAUGAAGGCUCUAUGGGUCGUAAACUUCUUUUAUAUAAGAAUAAAGUGCAGUAUGUAUACUGUUUUGUAUGUAUUAUAUGAAUAAGGAUCGGCUAACUCCGUGCCAGCAGCCGCGGUAAUACGGAGGAUCCGAGCGUUAUCCGGAUUUAUUGGGUUUAAAGGGAGCGUAGGUGGACUGGUAAGUCAGUUGUGAAAGUUUGCGGCUCAACCGUAAAAUUGCAGUUGAUACUGUCAGUCUUGAGUACAGUAGAGGUGGGCGGAAUUCGUGGUGUAGCGGUGAAAUGCUUAGAUAUCACGAAGAACUCCGAUUGCGAAGGCAGCUCACUGGACUGCAACUGACACUGAUGCUCGAAAGUGUGGGUAUCAAACAGG
This 758-nucleotide ribosomal RNA is filed under the name uncultured bacterium. RNAcentral describes it as "bacterial SSU rRNA". It matches the Rfam family "Bacterial small subunit ribosomal RNA", at positions 28 to 776 of the family's 1533-position model. The record is from RNAcentral.